This 468-nucleotide ribosomal RNA is filed under the name uncultured bacterium. RNAcentral describes it as "partial 16S ribosomal RNA". It matches the Rfam family "Bacterial small subunit ribosomal RNA", at positions 28 to 523 of the family's 1533-position model. The record is from RNAcentral.
GGUAAACGCUGGCGGCGUGCCUAACACAUGCAAGUCGAGCGAUUCUCUUCGGAGAAGAGCGGCGGACGGGUGAGUAACGCGUGGGUAACCUGCCCUGUACACACGGAUAACAUACCGAAAGGUAUGCUAAUACGAGAUAAUAUGCUUUUAUCGCAAGGUAGAAGUAUCAAAGUUUUUGCGGUACAGGAUGGACCCGCGUCUGAUUAGCUAGUUGGUAAGGUAACGGCUUACCAAGGCGACGAUCAGUAGCCGACCCGAGAGGGUGAUCGGCCACAUUGGAACUGAGACACGGUCCAAACUCCUACGGGAGGCAGCAGUGGGGAAUAUUGCACAAUGGGCGAAAGCCUGAUGCAGCAACGCCGCGUGAGCGAUGAAGGCCUUCGGGUCGUAAAGCUCUGUCCUCAAGGAAGAUAAUGACGGUACUUGAGGAGGAAGCCCCGGCUAACUACGUGCCAGCCGCCGCCGUAA